GUAGCUCAACUGGAUAGAGCACCAGACUACGAAUCUGGGGGUUAGAGGUUCAAGUCCUUUC
RNAcentral lists this transfer RNA (61 nucleotides) under Gluconobacter sp. DsW_056. RNAcentral's name for it is "tRNA-Arg". It matches the Rfam family "tRNA", at positions 7 to 64 of the family's 71-position model. From Rfam's summary of the family: Transfer RNA (tRNA) molecules are approximately 80 nucleotides in length. Lineage: Bacteria; Pseudomonadati; Pseudomonadota; Alphaproteobacteria; Acetobacterales; Acetobacteraceae. The record is from RNAcentral.